Regulatory RNA element from Glaciecola punicea, 111 nucleotides. It matches the Rfam family "Ribosomal S15 leader". From Rfam's summary of the family: The E. coli Ribosomal S15 gene 5' UTR can form two alternative structures. One that is a series of three hairpins, The other includes a pseudoknot. This structure causes translational regulation of the S15 protein. Lineage: Bacteria; Pseudomonadati; Pseudomonadota; Gammaproteobacteria; Alteromonadales; Alteromonadaceae. The record is from Rfam.
UUGCGAACCUGAAUUAGUGAUUGGGUUCGUUUCACAUUAUUUUUUGGAGAUAUUAUGUCACUAACUACAGUAGAAACAGCUAAAAUAAUUGCCGAGCACGGCCUUAAAGAA